This 2409-nucleotide ribosomal RNA is filed under the name Escherichia coli. RNAcentral's name for it is "partial 23S ribosomal RNA". It matches the Rfam family "Bacterial large subunit ribosomal RNA", at positions 548 to 2925 of the family's 2925-position model. Lineage: Bacteria; Pseudomonadati; Pseudomonadota; Gammaproteobacteria; Enterobacterales; Enterobacteriaceae. RNAcentral also lists the same sequence under 1 other name. The record is from RNAcentral.
ACCUGAAACCGUGUACGUACAAGCAGUGGGAGCCUCUUAAUGGGGUGACUGCGUACCUUUUGUAUAAUGGGUCAGCGACUUAUAUUCUGUAGCAAGGUUAACCGAAUAGGGGAGCCGAAGGGAAACCGAGUCUUAACUGGGCGUUAAGUUGCAGGGUAUAGACCCGAAACCCGGUGAUCUAGCCAUGGGCAGGUUGAAGGUUGGGUAACACUAACUGGAGGACCGAACCGACUAAUGUUGAAAAAUUAGCGGAUGACUUGUGGCUGGGGGUGAAAGGCCAAUCAAACCGGGAGAUAGCUGGUUCUCCCCGAAAGCUAUUUAGGUAGCGCCUCGUGAAUUCAUCUCCGGGGGUAGAGCACUGUUUCGGCAAGGGGGUCAUCCCGACUUACCAACCCGAUGCAAACUGCGAAUACCGGAGAAUGUUAUCACGGGAGACACACGGCGGGUGCUAACGUCCGUCGUGAAGAGGGAAACAACCCAGACCGCCAGCUAAGGUCCCAAAGUCAUGGUUAAGUGGGAAACGAUGUGGGAAGGCCCAGACAGCCAGGAUGUUGGCUUAGAAGCAGCCAUCAUUUAAAGAAAGCGUAAUAGCUCACUGGUCGAGUCGGCCUGCGCGGAAGAUGUAACGGGGCUAAACCAUGCACCGAAGCUGCGGCAGCGACACUAUGUGUUGUUGGGUAGGGGAGCGUUCUGUAAGCCUGUGAAGGUGGCCUGUGAGGGUUGCUGGAGGUAUCAGAAGUGCGAAUGCUGACAUAAGUAACGAUAAAGCGGGUGAAAAGCCCGCUCGCCGGAAGACCAAGGGUUCCUGUCCAACGUUAAUCGGGGCAGGGUGAGUCGACCCCUAAGGCGAGGCCGAAAGGCGUAGUCGAUGGGAAACAGGUUAAUAUUCCUGUACUUGGUGUUACUGCGAAGGGGGGACGGAGAAGGCUAUGUUGGCCGGGCGACGGUUGUCCCGGUUUAAGCGUGUAGGCUGGUUUUCCAGGCAAAUCCGGAAAAUCAAGGCUGAGGCGUGAUGACGAGGCACUACGGUGCUGAAGCGACAAAUGCCCUGCUUCCAGGAAAAGCCUCUAAGCAUCAGGUAACAUCAAAUCGUACCCCAAACCGACACAGGUGGUCAGGUAGAGAAUACCAAGGCGCUUGAGAGAACUCGGGUGAAGGAACUAGGCAAAAUGGUGCCGUAACUUCGGGAGAAGGCACGCUGAUAUGUAGGUGAAGCGACUUGCUCGUGGAGCUGAAAUCAGUCGAAGAUACCAGCUGGCUGCAACUGUUUAUUAAAAACACAGCACUGUGCAAACACGAAAGUGGACGUAUACGGUGUGACGCCUGCCCGGUGCCGGAAGGUUAAUUGAUGGGGUUAGCGGUAACGCGAAGCUCUUGAUCGAAGCCCCGGUAAACGGCGGCCGUAACUAUAACGGUCCUAAGGUAGCGAAAUUCCUUGUCGGGUAAGUUCCGACCUGCACGAAUGGCGUAAUGAUGGCCAGGCUGUCUCCACCCGAGACUCAGUGAAAUUGAACUCGCUGUGAAGAUGCAGUGUACCCGCGGCAAGACGGAAAGACCCCGUGAACCUUUACUAUAGCUUGACACUGAACAUUGAGCCUUGAUGUGUAGGAUAGGUGGGAGGCUUUGAAGUGUGGACGCCAGUCUGCAUGGAGCCGACCUUGAAAUACCACCCUUUAAUGUUUGAUGUUCUAACGUGGGCCCCUUACCGGGGUUGCGGACAGUGUCUGGUGGGUAGUUUGACUGGGGCGGUCUCCUCCUAAAGAGUAACGGAGGAGCACGAAGGUUGGCUAAUCCUGGUCGGACAUCAGGAGGUUAGUGCAAUGGCAUAAGCCAGCUUGACUGCGAGCGUGACGGCGCGAGCAGGUGCGAAAGCAGGUCAUAGUGAUCCGGUGGUUCUGAAUGGAAGGGCCAUCGCUCAACGGAUAAAAGGUACUCCGGGGAUAACAGGCUGAUACCGCCCAAGAGUUCAUAUCGACGGCGGUGUUUGGCACCUCGAUGUCGGCUCAUCACAUCCUGGGGCUGAAGUAGGUCCCAAGGGUAUGGCUGUUCGCCAUUUAAAGUGGUACGCGAGCUGGGUUUAGAACGUCGUGAGACAGUUCGGUCCCUAUCUGCCGUGGGCGCUGGAGAACUGAGGGGGGCUGCUCCUAGUACGAGAGGACCGGAGUGGACGCAUCACUGGUGUUCGGGUUGUCAUGCCAAUGGCACUGCCCGGUAGCUAAAUGCGGAAGAGAUAAGUGCUGAAAGCAUCUAAGCACGAAACUUGCCCCGAGAUGAGUUCUCCCUGACUCCUUGAGAGUCCUGAAGGAACGUUGAAGACGACGACGUUGAUAGGCCGGGUGUGUAAGCGCAGCGAUGCGUUGAGCUAACCGGUACUAAUGAACCGUGAGGCUUAACCUUACAACGCCGAAG